GAUGAAGAACGUAGCGAAAUGCGAUAAGUAGUGUGAAUUGCAGAAUUCAGUGAAUCAUCGAGUCUUUGAACGCACAUUGCGCCCCCUGGUAUUCCGGGGGGCAUGCCUGUCCGAGCGUCAUUGCUGCCCUCAAGCACGGCUUGUGUGUUGGGCCGUCGUCCCACUCCUAGGGGACGGGCCCGAAAGGCAGCGGCGGCACCGCGUCCGGUCCUCGAGCGUAUGGGGCUUCGUCACCCGCUCCGUAGGCCCGGCCGGCGCUUGCCGACGACCAUCAAUCUCUUUCUCCAGGUUGACCUCGGAUCAGGUAGGGAUACCCGCUGAACUUAAGCAUAUCAAUAAGCGGAGGA
Molecule: unclassified non-coding RNA, 347 nt
Filed under: soil metagenome
Description: partial contains 5.8S ribosomal RNA, internal transcribed spacer 2, and large subunit ribosomal RNA
Rfam family: 5.8S ribosomal RNA (bases 1-120)
Source: RNAcentral